GCGGGCGUGGCGAAACUGGUAGACGCAAGGGACUUAAAAUCCCUCGCCCGAAAGGGAGUGUGGGUUCGACCCCCACCGUCCGCACCA
This 87-nucleotide transfer RNA is filed under the name compost metagenome. RNAcentral's name for it is "tRNA-Leu". It matches the Rfam family "tRNA". Rfam says of the family: Transfer RNA (tRNA) molecules are approximately 80 nucleotides in length. The record is from RNAcentral.